CACAAAACAGGGGGUUUUCAAAUAGUUAUAAAACAGGAUCAUCUUUACUGAACAUCUAGAACUGUACAAAAAAACAAAAAAAAAACAAAAAAAAGCAACAGACAGUAAAUCUACGUUCCAAGUGGCACCUAUUCCCUACAUAGUGCACUACUUCUGAUCAGAGCCCUACAUAGGGAAUAGGGUGCCAGAGCUCUGUAACACCCUAUUCCCUACAUAGUGCACUACUUCUGAUCAGAGCCCUACAUAGGGAAUAGGGUGCCAGAGCUCUAUAACACCCUAUUCCCUACAUAGUGCACUACUUCUGAUCAGAGCCCUACAUAGGGAAUAGGGUGCCAGAGCUCUAUAACACCCUAUUCCCUACAUAGUGCACUACUUCUGAUCAGAGCCCUACAUAGGGAAUAGGGUGCCAUUUCAGAUGCAGACUAAAUCAUCCAGUGACCGAAGACAAAGUGUCAAAACAAACAGAGGAUUGAAAGAAGAAAGGAAGAAAAACAGGGUUUAGGGUCUAACCAGGGGGUCCAAUCUGACCCUACAGCUGUUUGGAGUCAAACCAGGGGGUCCAAUCUGACCCUACAGCUGUUUGGAGUCUAACCAGGGGGUCCAAUCUGACCCUACAGCUGUUUGGAGUCAAACCAGGGGGUCCAAUCUGACCCUACAGCUGUUUGGAGUCUAACCAGGGGGUCCAAUCUGACCCUACAGCUGUUUGGAGUCUAACCAGGGGGUCCAAUCUGACCCUACAGCUGUUUGGAGUCUAACCAGGGGGUCCAAUCUGACCCUACAGCUGUUUGGAGUCAAACCAGGGGGUCCAAUCUGACCCUACAGCUGUUUGGAGUCUAACCAGGGGGUCCAAUCUGACCCUACAGCUGUUUGGAGUCAAACCAGGGGGUCCAAUCUGACCCUACAGCUGUUUGGAGUCAAACCAGGGGUCCAAUCUGACCCUACAGCUGUUUGGAGUCUAACCAGGGGGUCCAAUCUGACCCUACAGCUGUUUGGAGUCUAACCAGGGG
Molecule: long non-coding RNA, 1007 nt
Organism: Oncorhynchus tshawytscha (Chinook salmon)
Lineage: Eukaryota; Metazoa; Chordata; Actinopteri; Salmoniformes; Salmonidae
Source: Ensembl